CUACGGGACGCACCAGUGGGGAAUAUUGCACAAUGGGCGCAAGCCUGAUGCAGCCAUGCCGCGUGUAUGAAGAAGGCCUUCGGGUUGUAAAGUACUUUCAGCGGGGAGGAAGGGAGUAAAGCUAAUACCUUUGCUCAUUGACGUUACCCGCAGAAGAAGCACCGGCUAACUCCGUGCCAGCAGCCGCGGUAAUACGGAGGGUGCAAGCGGUAAUCGGAAUUACUGGGCGUAAAGCGCACGCAGGCGGUUUGUUAAGUCAGAUGUGAAAUCCCCGGGCUCAACCUGGGAACUGCAUCUGAUACUGGCAAGCUUGAGUCUCAUAGAGGGGGGUAGAAUUCCAGGUGUAGCGGUGAUAUGCGUAGAGAUGUGGAGGAAUACCGGUGGCGAAGGCGGCCCCCUGGACGAAGACUGACGCUCAGGUGCGAAAGCGUGGGGAGCAAACAGGAUUAGAUACCCGUGUAGUC
This 464-nucleotide ribosomal RNA is filed under the name uncultured bacterium. Its description in RNAcentral is "partial 16S ribosomal RNA". It matches the Rfam family "Bacterial small subunit ribosomal RNA", at positions 339 to 795 of the family's 1533-position model. The record is from RNAcentral.